This 117-nucleotide non-coding RNA is filed under the name Chlorocebus sabaeus (green monkey). Lineage: Eukaryota; Metazoa; Chordata; Mammalia; Primates; Cercopithecidae. The record is from Rfam by way of RNAcentral.
GCUGGGCAUGGUGGCUCAUGCCUGUAAUCCCAGCAUUUUGGGAGGCUGAGGUGUGUGGAUCACCUGAGGUCAGGAGUUUGAGACCAGCCUGGCCAACAUGGUGAAAACCCAUCUCUA